CCUACGGGUGGCAGCAGUGAGGAAUAUUGGUCAAUGGGCGCGAGCCUGAACCAGCCAAGUCGCGUGAGGGAGGACGGCCCCACGGGUUGUAAACCUCUUUUGCCGGGGAGCAACGGGCGUCACGUGUGGCGCCACUGAGAGUACCCGGAGAAAAAGCAUCGGCUAACUCCGUGCCAGCAGCCGCGGUAAUACGGAGGAUGCGAGCGUUAUCCGGAUUUAUUGGGUUUAAAGGGUGCGUAGGCGGAUCGUUAAGUCAGUGGUCAAAUUGAGGGGCUCAACCCCUUCCCGCCAUUGAAACUGGCGCUCUUGAGUGGAAGAGAAGUAUGCGGAAUGCGUGGUGUAGCGGUGAAAUGCAUAGAUAUCAGGAGGAACAUCGGUGGCGUAAGCGCUUUACUGGGCCGUAAUUGACGCUGAGGAACGAAAGCCAGGGUAGCAAAUGGGAUUAGAUACCCUUGUAGUC
RNAcentral lists this ribosomal RNA (460 nucleotides) under uncultured bacterium. RNAcentral's name for it is "partial 16S ribosomal RNA". It matches the Rfam family "Bacterial small subunit ribosomal RNA", at positions 338 to 795 of the family's 1533-position model. The record is from RNAcentral.